UACGGGGGGGCAAGCGUUGUUCGGAAUUACUGGGCGUAAAGGGCGCGUAGGCGGCCUGCUAAGUCGGACGUGAAAUCCCUCGGCUCAACCGGGGAACUGCGUCCGAUACUGGCGAGGCUUGAAUCCGGGAGAGGGAUGUGGAAUUCCUGGUGUAGCGGUGAAAUGCGUAGAUAUCGGGAGGAACACCAGUGGCGAAGGCGACUACCUGGCCUGUUCUUGACGCUGAGGCGCGAAAGCUAGGGGAGCAAACGGG
RNAcentral lists this ribosomal RNA (253 nucleotides) under uncultured bacterium. Its description in RNAcentral is "partial 16S ribosomal RNA". It matches the Rfam family "Bacterial small subunit ribosomal RNA", at positions 524 to 776 of the family's 1533-position model. The record is from RNAcentral.